GGUGGAGAUGCUUCCGAGACGAAAGCACAGAAAGCAAAUGCAGAACUUCCCUGCCUCUCCGUCCUUCCCUCAUUUUGAACAGAGACAGCAGCUACCUGUGACUGCCCUGGGGUGAAUGUGCAGCAUCUGGGGUAAAUUUCUUCCCACGCCUGCCCGCAGCAGUCGAGACAGAAGCUGGCACAGGGCUGCCCUUCUUGUGAGCCAGGCAGCAAAAACCAGGCGCUGAGGCUCAGAACUGCUGACUCAAGCCUCCAUGAAGGAACAGAAAUCCAGAAAGCCGGGCCAGAAAUAGCAUCCGUCCCAGUUCCCACCCUGAGUCCUGCCAAACAGUGCUGCAACAGUCAGCGUUCUGGCCACAGAGAGUGAGGAUGCAGGAUGGCUCGGCCCAUUUCCCCAACUACGUCAGUCUGGACAGAUGUCUCAGGCUGUGUUGGCAGAGGCACUGCUGGUACCACGUGCCAACCUCGGGACAAGCUGCCUCCUCUUGGAAAUGAAGCAGGGACGAUGCACCAGGGAAUCAUGUCAUCAAGUCAGCCGUGUCAACACGCGUUUAUGGAAUGGAAUGGAAUAGAGUAUCACUGCAGCCCACCAAGUAAGGGAAGGUCCGUGCCAAUCGUGGACACAUAUGGGGCUGAAGCCAGCGGGACAGCCCAGCACCCACUCCGCGGCAGCUCACAUUUCGGAGACUGAGCGGGAACCAGGGGACCCAUCAAUGCCUCCGCGCGUCUCACCGGCCGGUGACGUGGCUCAGCGUAGUUAUGCUCAGUCUGCCCCGGACCCAGUGGGCCUCAGAGGCAAGAGAACAAUGGAAACUUGACCUGCGUAACCAAGGAAUGAUGCCACGAGAGCCCAGUUUGGUCAGCGCAGAGUCUAAUCCCCGGAGACCCUCAGCCCAACAACCCAGCCCCUUUCCCUAGUGAGGCAGAGAGGCUCAUCUGCACCCCGCCUACAAGGCAAAGUGCCGCGCUGGGGAGCGGACUGGCGAACUGGCUCCAGAGCGAAGAUGCAUCAUGUUUUCCAAAGGGCUGACUUCUCUAACUCGGGUGGAGGGAAUGGGGAGGUUUCUGCCCUUCCCCUCCUGCGCAGGAAAAACUCUGGAGUCUUGGAGAAGUGUUGACAGAGGGAAGGGAGCAAUUUGGGGCAGCUGCCCAGGGCGGGUGGGGCCGGGAGUGUGGGGGCACCUCACAGGAAAGCCUGAAGAGCCAACGCCACAGCCGCCACAGUCUGCAGCUCAGGGUAGCAUUUCUCAAGGGGUGUCUCCUGGGCCUCCUGCCCAGCACCGGGGAUCCGGCUUCCUCCUCCCUGCAAGAAGCUCAGCUGCUUCUCCCAUCCCGUUUCUCCCGCGUCUAUCCAGACAGCCCUUGGCCAGGUUUCCAAGUCACCAAUUCCUAGGGGACAGCUGUCCGCAGCAGGGAGUGAGAGGCCAACUCUGAACAGAGAUGAUGCUUGCGUGGGCUCACACCCACACCCACUCAGCUCAUGUCCAACACACCAGGCUCUUUGCCACAAGCUCUCAGAGGUCAGCUGUGGCUGCCUUGGUGAGGUGAGGGCUUUCAGCUUGUAUUCCUGGAAAUUCUUAUUAUCAGACCCCUCGCCUGGCUUCAGCCUCGUACAGCUCUCCAAAGAGCUGACAGCUCUGGAAAAGUCAGGGUGACCUGCUGACCCCACAAAGCCUCAGGAGGGCUACGAUGGAGGGGAAAGGAAGGCCCAUCAGAAGCGUGGUGACUGCAGCAAUGGUCUCCCUCCCAGGCAGGGAUAGGAGGCAGAGACUUGAAGCUCUCUCUCCUUCCCAGAACCUCACUUUUCUCCCUCUCAAAGUCACAUCUGUUCUCCCCAAGGCCUACGGCCUAAUGAUUACCAAUGAGAGUGGGGGGAGGGGAGUGUGAAAACUCCUGGAGAAAAGCCAUUUGCACUGGAAACGUGGGAUUGUGUCAUCGUUUCCACAGCAGCCGCAAGAAGCAGGAAGAGGCAGCAGGAAGUCACCCAGCAUGUUUGCAAGAACAGAGCAUCUGUCAAUUCUGUAAUAAGAUGUGCCCUGGGCUUUCUUUGUCAAUACACCAGGUCUCACUGCCUCGCUGCUCCCCUCCAAACCCAAAGAGAGAAGACAAAGCCACAGAUAUGGCGGGCACUGCAGCUGCCUGCGCAUAACACCCAGAAGGCACGCUGGCUCCAACAGGCGAUGCCUGGCUGGUGGCAGGAACCCAUGGAAGACGUAUUUCCAAAAUCAAGAGUCCAUCCAGGACCUCAAAUUCUGGCCCAGGGCUGGGCAUGGUGGCUCACGCCUGUAAUCCCAGCACUUUGGGAGGCUGAGGCGGUCGGAUCACCUGAGGUCAGGAGUUCGAGACCAGCCUGGUCGACAUGGUGAAACCCCAUCUCUACUAAAAAUACAAAAAUUAGCCAGGCAUGGUGGCGGGUGCCUAUAAUCCCAGCUACUAGGGAGGCUGAGGCAGGAGAACUGCUUAAACCCGGGAGGCGGAAGUUGCAGUGAGAAGAGAUCACGCCAUUGCACUCCAGCCUGGGCUAUGAGAGCGAAACUCUGCCUAAAAAAAAAAAAAAAAAAAAAAAAUUCUGGCUCAGCCUGGGUGAAUAACGACUUCCAUUUCAGUGAAAUCAAAUGUUCAACCUUACAUUUUCGAAACUUGCUUUGAAAACCUCCAGGAACUCAUCCAAAGGGAAAAAACACGGUUGAUUGGAUCCCUGGAUCCAGGCCAUGGCCGCAUGGUUGAAAGCAGCUGUGGAGAGAGUCGAGGUGGAGAGUGCACUGAAGGUGAUGGAACCACAGCUGUCAGGGAGCCCCAGGAAAUGGGGGCCUCAAUCCUAAAACCACUCCUGUCUUGGCAGGCAGCUGGCCAGGUCUUUAACAAUGCAGAUCCGAUCGUAUCACUGUACUGCCUGGGGGCUUCUGGACACUCUUAAAAGAAAGCCCAAGGAGCCCAUGACCAAAGCUGCUACAAUUGGAGCAAUGAAAUAACGUAGUAUUGGGUUAUAACCCAAAGAAUAAAAUGAAUAUCCAGGAGUCCAUGCAGAUAUAAAUACAUGAUUGAAUCAAUUAAUAAAUGAAGGAGAACAGAAAAAUCUCCUGUGCAGAAAAACUCUAAAUAAUUUCUGUAGAUGUUCCACCCUAACAGAGGAGGAGCACAACUCUCCACCCCUUAAAUGUGCACACAGUGACUUCCUUCCACAGACGACAGUACUGAAAUGGGGGAAAAAAAGGAACUUGGCGGGGCGCAGUGGCUCAUGCCUGUAAUCCCAGCACUGUGAGAGGUCAAGGCGGACGGGUCACUUGAGGUCAGGAGUUUGAGACCAGCCUGGCCAACAUGGUGAAACCUUGACUCCACUAAAAAUACAAAAAUUAGCCAGGCGUAGUGGCGGGAGCCUGUAAUCCCAGCUACUCAGGAGGUUGAGGCAGGAGAAUCGCUUGAGCUUCUGGGGUGGAGGUUGCAGUGAGUGGAGAUGGCACCACUGCACUCCAGCCUGGGUGACAGAGUGAGACUCUGUCUCAAAAAAAAAAAGUAACUUUACAGUGGAGACAGUCAACAAACAUGACCUCAGCCAAGCAACUGAGGUCAAUGUCAGCAGUGAUAUGUCAUGUCGAUGGUAUGUACCCUUGAUAGGAUGUGAUGAAAAUGACACUUGAUCUCUGUUCUUCCUCCCAGAACCCACAGGCCCAGUCCAAUCAUGAGAAAAGCAUCAGACAAAUUCCAAUAGUGGGGCAUCCUACUAAAUACCCAACCAGAACUCCUUAGAACUGUCAAGGUCAUCAGAAACAAGACAAGUCUAAGAAGAAACAGCCACAGCCAAGAGGCACCUACAGAAACAAAAUGGAAAUGUGGUUUCCUGGAUGGGAUCCUGGAACAGAAAAAGGACAUUAGGGAAAAACUAAGAAAACGUGAAUCAACUAUUGUAUUAGUUCAUUUUCUGUUGCUUAUAGCAGAAUACCUGAAACUAGAUAACUUAUAAAGAAAAGUAGUUGUUUUCUUACAGUUAUGGAGUCUGAGAAGUCAAAGGUCAAGGGGCAGCAUCUGGUGAGGGCCUUCUUGCUGGUGGGGACUCUGCAGAGUACAGAGGUGGUUCAGGGUAUCCUAUAACGAGGGGGCUGAGUAAGCUAGCUCGGGUCUUUCUUCCUCUUCUUAUAAAGCCACCAGUCCCACUCCCAUGAUAUCCCAGCAAUCCAUUAAUUCAUGAAUGGAUUAACCCAUUCAUGAGUGCAGAGCCACAUAACCCAAUCACCUCUUAAAGGCCUCACCUCUCAAUACUGCCAGAUUGGGGGUUAAGUUUCAGCAUGAAUUUUGGAGGCAACAAAUACUCAAACCACAGCAACUAUAGACUUUAGUUAUUAUAAUAAAGAUGUAUCAAUAUAUUGAUAACUUUUUUUUUUUGAGAUGGACCUCAGGGUCCAUGCACAUGCUGUUUCUCCCCAACAAUAUCUAUUCUCUUCUGUAUCUUCAGCAACCUCCGGCCCAGCCCACACAUAAACCCACUCAGCCUAAGCUCUCAGUCGAUUCCCUGGGAAGCCAUCCUCAGCUACCCAGACUAAGUGAGGUUGUGGGUCGCAUCCAUCCAGGGUGCUGCACUUCUCCCCUAGUAACUCAUUGCUCCAUGUCUAUCUGCCAGCACUGGAUGCUCCUUGAGGGCAGGACGGUGCCUGUCUUCCAGACCUCUGUGUCCUGUCCCUAGCACAGUGAUUGGCCCAGAGUAAUCCCAAGUUCAUGUUGCUGAAUGGCUCAGAUGUGUAAAUGAAUGAGAUUCAGAAGCAACCCACACAGAGUGGGCUCCAGGGCUAAAGGUGAGAUCACCCAGUGUGCCUUCUAUGACAGGUUGAGAGCCGUGAGCCCAUCUGACCUCAGGAAAGAAAGACAUAGAGCAAAUGGGUACCACUUGUGUCUGCUGGUGCCAGGAGGCACCAGAGAUGCUCUCUGACCCUAACACUGCAUCAGCAAAAGGUCUGAAGGUUGAAAUUUUUAUUUUAGAUUUCAUCAAAAAUCUACUCUAGCCCUUGGAUAAGUUCUUUUAAAAAAAAUGAGGUAUAACUUACAUACCAAAAAAUAGUAAAAUUCACUCUUUUUAAGUAUAUAGUUCCACAAAUUUUACAGAACAUUUCCAUCACCCCCCACAAAGAUCUCUUCAUGCUCAUUUGUAGUCAAUACAAAUCCCAGCCCCCAGUGCCCACUGAUCUGUUUUCCAUUCCUUAUUGUUUUGCCUUUCCCAGAAUCUCAUCUAGACUGAAUCAUGUAGAAUGUAGUCUUUUGAGUCCAGUCUUUCUCACUUAGCCUAAUGCAUUUGCGAUUCAUCAAUUUAGUUGCAUGAAUCAAUAGCUUGUUCCUUUUUAUGGGUGAGUAAUAUUCCUUGGCAUAGAUAUACCACAAUUUGUUGAUCCUUUCACCAGUGGAUAGAUAUCUGGGUUGUUUCAAAUUUGGGGCAAUUAUGAAGAAUACAUGCAUACAAGUUUUUAGGUAGACAUAUAUUUUCAUCGUUCAUAGGUAAAUAUCUAAAAAUGGGAUUGCUGGGUCAUAUUGUGGAUUUAUGUUUACCUUUAUAAGAAACUGAAGGGCAGAAUAUUUGAGAAGAGUAAUUGUAUUUCUUUCUCCAACACAUUUUGGUUGUGCACCUACUAUGUCCAAGGCAAACCAAGGGUGUUUCCCCAAACAGCUGGGGAUGUUCCUGCUCCCCAACCUCUGCUUGUGCUAUCUCACCAGCAGAAAAGCAGACCUCCCAUACAUUUCCUUGUCCUUGGGCCAAGAAUUAUGGCAGACCAGGCACUGCGGUGGAUCCAAGAGGGGUGGAACAAAUGUUCCUGCUCUGCCAACAACAAUCUGAAGGAUGGAAAGUCCCUCUGGGACUCAGGACCAACAGAGCUGCAGGUAGAUGCCAGGAGAUACAGGACAGAGAAGAGUUUAAUGGUCUAGGUGGCAUCAUCCAGAUAAGGCAGACUCUGGUCCAGCUCUGGGCCCACCCUACUGUUACCCGGUAUUCUAGAAUAUCAUCUGCAUGUGGUGAUGUUCCCUUCCUCUGAUUUCUCUACUACUUCCCGACACUCUGGUUUGGCAGCUGGUUGUCUACGCUUUGGGCACCCCUUAUAUUCUUGCCCUCUACCAUGGCUUAGCUUUCAGCACUGUGUGCUUCCCAGCCAGCAGGAGCUCCCUGAGGACCGAGGCCUGCCGUUCUCAGCACACCCAGAUGCAUUUGGCUCUCUACAAAAUACUGUCCAAGAAUGCUCUUUAGGAGGCUUUAAUGAUUUAUAAUCAAAACCAACUGCUUGCAUGGAAACAGGAGUUCCAAAUACUUGCUCUAAUCAUUAACUUUAUGUGUCAACUUGGCUGGCCCAUUGAACCCAGAUAUUUGAUCCAACCUGUCUCAAUUUCACUGUGGAGAUAUUUUUUACAUGAGAUUAAUAUUGAAAUCAGUAGAUUUUGAGUAAAGCUGAUUACCUCCUAUAAUGUGGGUGGACCUCAUCCCAUCAGUUGAAGGCCUUAAAGGAAAAGGAUUGACCUUCCCCAAGGAAAAGGGAAUUCUGCCAGCAGAUGGCCUUGGGGCUCUGCUACAACAACUCUUCCCUACUCUCCAGCCUGCCCUGCAUUAUUUCAGACUUGCUAGCCCCCACAAUCACAUGAGCCAAUCCCUUAAAAUAAAUCCCUCUCUCUGCAUAUAUAUAUACAUAUAAAUACAUACACAUAUAGAUCAUCCAUCCAUCUAUCCA
RNAcentral lists this long non-coding RNA (6697 nucleotides) under Homo sapiens (human). RNAcentral's name for it is "non-protein coding lnc-NSMCE4A-7:5". The record is from RNAcentral. Lineage: Eukaryota; Metazoa; Chordata; Mammalia; Primates; Hominidae.